Molecule: unclassified non-coding RNA, 1684 nt
Filed under: Hevea brasiliensis (rubber tree)
Lineage: Eukaryota; Viridiplantae; Streptophyta; Magnoliopsida; Malpighiales; Euphorbiaceae
Source: RNAcentral
GGCAGUUGUUACAGUGUUGAGGGGCGUCUCUCAUGGCCGCUUACCACUACUCACUCACUCUCAGUUUCCGAUUGUUACACCAACAAACAUUGCUUAUCGGAAUCGUCCCAAUGUUUUGCGAGUUUUUGCUCGUUAUUCUCAGACACAGGAUCUAUUUACUUCUCGUCUUCAAGAUCGUCUAGAGAACUUGCCCAAACUUGUGGAGGAUAUUGUCCAAACAUCUCUAAGCACCGGUCCUCGUGGAGCCUUAAGGUUAGCUCAGGGUGUCCAAGCUGUAGUUGGAGUAGGCAGUGAGUGGCUGCAAGAUGUAUCUAAGACGGCAAACUCGUCCACUGGACUACCAACUCAGCUGCAGCUUGGGCUAUUAUCUCCCCUAUAUUUGAGGAAAUUGUUUGAACGCAUGGGUGCAACUUAUAUCAAAUUAGGUCAGUUUAUUGCAUCCGCACCCACGUUGUUUCCACCGGAGUAUGUUCAAGAAUUCCAGUACUGUUUUGACAGGGCUCCUGCAGUUCCUUUUGAACAGAUCCAAACAAUCUUGCGUGAGGAGCUAGGCAGACCAAUUGAUACCGUGUUUGAAUAUAUUGAUCCCACACCAGUUGCCUCUGCAUCAAUUGCUCAGGUGCACGGUGCAAGAAUAAGAGGCACAGGGGAGGAUGUAGUGAUAAAGGUUUUGAAACCUGGAAUAGAAGAUAUUUUGGUAGCAGAUCUGAACUUUAUUUACAUUGCAGCACGUAUCCUGGAGUUUUUGAGUCCUGAUCUAAGCCGUGCAUCUCUGGUUGCUAUUGUCAAAGACAUACGAGAAUCAAUGCUAGAAGAAGUUGACUUCAACAAGGAGGCUACAAAUGUUGAGUCGUUUAGGAAUUAUUUAGAAGCCAUGGGACUAACUAGGCAGGCCACUGCUCCAAAAGUCUACCGUCAAUAUAGUACUAAGCGUAUUCUGACUAUGGAGAGGCUAUAUGGAGUACCAUUGACAGACUUAGACUCUAUUAAGUCACUGGUUUCCAGUCCAGAAACCAGUCUUAUUACUGCCCUUAAUGUUUGGUUUGGAAGUCUGCUUGCCUGUGAAUCUUUCCAUGCCGAUGUACAUGCUGGCAAUUUGUGGCAACUACGUGAUGGGCGUAUUGGGUUCCUUGACUUCGGAAUUGUUGGUCGCAUAUCUCCAAAGACAUGGGCUGCUAUGGAAGUAUUUCUGCAAUCUAUUGCAAUUGAAGAUUAUGAGUCGAUGGCAUCUGCUCUAAUUGACAUGGGUGCUACAGGAAAGGAUGUGGACACGAAGGCUUUUGCGAGGGACUUGGAGAAAAUAUUUUUGUCGAUUCAGGAUCUAGAUACAGAAAUCAUUGUUGCGGCUGCCAGGGACACAAAUACAAAUGCUACUACUGUUGCUGCCAAUGUAGCAUUUGAUGAGAGACAAAUGAACGCACUAUUUCUGGACGUGGUUAGAGUUGGUGAAUCUUAUGGAUUGAAAUUUCCUCGUGAGUUUGCACUUCUGAUGAAGCAACUUCUCUAUUUUGACCGCUACACCAGAUUGUUAGCUCCAAACAUGAACAUGUAUCGAGAUCAGAGGAUCAACGUCGUCUCUAAGCAAAGACAACAAAGGAACAUAUACCAAUGAUGAUUGUACGUCACAUCAAGAGAUUGUUGCCCUUCCUGGGAUUUUCUAAUAUACUGUAAUCUGUAAGUUGUA